RNA transcript from Elaeis guineensis (African oil palm), 1808 nucleotides. RefSeq lists it as uncharacterized. The record is from RefSeq and is a predicted model, not a curated record. NCBI's taxonomy places the organism in Eukaryota, Viridiplantae, Streptophyta, Magnoliopsida, Arecales, Arecaceae.
UUUUUUUUAUCGUUUAUCUAAGUUGAGCCGCUUUCUUGCGUUGGCCCUCCUUCCCAGUCCGAGAUCGAGCCGUUUUGACCCACCGGCCUCCUUCGGCGAUCAGCGUUUCGCUCCUCGCCGACGAUGUCGGGUCACCAGCCGGCUGGGUCACCAACCCACCACUCCCUGGCCUUUCGCGUGAUGCGGCUCUGCCGCCCGUCGUUCCAGGCGGAGGACGCCAUCCUCCGCCUCGACCCCUCUGACCUCCUCGCCGGGGAGGACCUCUUCGACGACCCCCGCGUCUCUUCCCACCUCCUCGACCGCUUCUCCACCAGUGGCGGCGGAGACUUCAGCUUCCGCAAUCGGUUCCAGCUCCAGAACCCGAUCGACGCCAUGGCCCUCACCGGCAACCUAAUCCUCCCCCAGUCCUUCGGAGCUAUAUACUUGGGGGAGACAUUCUGUAGCUAUAUCAGCAUCAACAACAGUUCCAACUUUGAAGCAAGGGAUGUGGUCAUCAAGGCAGAAAUUCAGACAGAAAGGCAAAGGAUACUGCUGCUGGAUACAUCAAAAUCACCUGUUGAGUCCAUACGGUCAGGGGGCAGAUAUGAUUUUAUAGUAGAACAUGAUGUUAAAGAAUUGGGGCCUCACACGCUUGUUUGCACUGCUUUGUACAAUGAUGGGGACAGUGAGCGCAAAUAUCUUCCGCAGUUUUUUAAGUUUGUUGUUGCAAACCCACUUUCAGUUAGAACAAAGGUUCGCACUGUCAAGGAGAAUACAUUUUUGGAGGCAUGCAUAGAGAACCACACAAAGUCCAAUCUUUAUAUGGAUCAAGUUGAUUUUGAACCUGCACGACAUUGGACUGCAAUGAGAUUGGAAGCUGAUGAACACACCUUAGAAAUUAACUCUCAGGCGAGUUACGUGGACAGGGGAAUAUUUAGGUCACCUGUCCUCAUCAGAGCUGGGGGAGGAAUUUACAAUUAUCUAUAUCAACUAAGGCUGUCAUCGCAAGAGGCUGGGCAUGCAAAGGUUGAUAGAGGCAAUAUUCUUGGUAAACUUCAGAUAACAUGGCGUACAAAUUUGGGUGAACCUGGACGCCUGCAGACCCAGCAGAUUCAUGGCACCCCCAUUGCACGCAAGGACAUUGACGUGCAGGUUGUUGAAGUUCCCUCUGUUAUCAUUCUGGAGAGACCCUUUCUGGUGCAUCUUUGUCUCACAAGCCAGACAGAUAGAACUGUGGGCCCUUUUGAAAUCUGGAUAUCUAGAAGCAUUACCAGUGAGGAGAAGGUUGUUAUGAUUAAUGGAAUUCAGAAGUUGAAUCAGAUGAAGCAACUGGCUUUUGGUUGUCCCUGCAAGAGAAGUUCAAUGAUUCAGCUGGAUCUUGAAAUUGGUUCUACCACCAGUGGAGGCUUUCGGCUCUGCCAACUUUAGCCUGAAUCUGAUUGCUACUAGGCUGGGGGUUCAGAAAAUCUCAGGAAUUACGGUAUUUGAUGCUUAUCAAAAGAAAUUGUAUGACCCAUUACCAGAGAUGGAGAUUUUUGUUGAUACAGCCUGAGUUUUGGGUGUCCUGCUACUGGGGGGCGCUAUGAUAAUAGAAUUCACCGUGACAGCUUCAGGCCUGUAGUUCAUUUGCGCCAUGUAAUUCCUCUGUUAUUUUCCACUACAUUCUUAUGUUGAACUUCUUCAAGUGUACAUACAGCUACGCUUAUUAUUUAUUCAUGAGUUAAUGUAAACCUUACAAAUGUGGUUACCAUCCAGGAACCGAAUGCUAGGAUCUAUCAUUGUUGUCCGCACUCUGUAUCUUAAUUGCAAAUUCAAUUAUUUUUAUGUUC